This 545-nucleotide ribosomal RNA is filed under the name uncultured bacterium. RNAcentral describes it as "partial 16S ribosomal RNA". It matches the Rfam family "Bacterial small subunit ribosomal RNA", at positions 355 to 889 of the family's 1533-position model. The record is from RNAcentral.
UAGGGAAUCUUCCACAAUGGACGCAAGUCUGAUGGAGCAACGCCGCGUGAGUGAAGAAGGUUUUCGGACCGUAAAGCUCUGUUGUUGGUGAAGAAGGAUAGAGGUAGUAACUGGCCUUUAUUUGACGGUAAUCAACCAGAAAGUCACGGCUAACUACGUGCCAGCAGCCGCGGUAAUACGUAGGUGGCAAGCGUUGUCCGGAUUUAUUGGGCGUAAAGCGAGCGCAGGCGGAAGAAUAAGUCUGAUGUGAAAGCCCUCGGCUUAACCGAGGAAUUGCAUCGGAAACUGUUUUCUUGAGUGCAGAAGAGGAGAGUAGAACUCCAUGUGUAGCGGUGGAAUGCGUAGAUAUAUGGAAGAAUACCAGUGGCGAAGGCGGCUCUCUGGUCUGCAACUGACGCUGAGGCUCGAAAAGCAUGGGUAGCGAACAGGAUUAGAUACCCUGGUAGUCCAUGCCGUAAAACGAUGAGUGCUAAGUGUUGGGAGGCUUCCGCCUCUCAGUGCUGCAGCUAACGCAUUAAGCACUCCGCCUGGGGGAGUACGACCGC